UGCAGCAAAUAAUGUUCUUUUCAUGAAUACUCACAAUUUAUAACAGUAAAUUAAAGGCUCUGAGAAGCAUCAGUUAUGAAAUUCUAAAUUAACUUGGUUUAAUCCAACAUAGGCUAAUCUCACUGAUGACAUGAACCUUUUAUGACAUAAUACCUAUGGAAUCGGUGUCGUCGUGAAGUGCUUGCUAUGUGCUAUUUUGAAAAGUCGCUUACUUUGCACAAGCACAGAUCAGAAGCAAUAAAAAAUUCAGGAAGAGAAUCAACUCUGUAGAUGAAAACAUACAUCUGAGAAGACAGAGAUAAGUUUGGCAGUCUAGUUCUUUCUCCUGUUCUGCCUUCAAUGGUAAGGAUUUAAUUCGACUCAGUGCUUUGAAAGACUGUUUUAGCAACUGUUUCUGGCUAACAAGUACAAUGCUGAUACCUAAGACUGUGCCUAUACUUGGUAAAAAUCGCUCAACCACGGCUGACAAAUGCACUUAGCUUGUUUUCCUCUAGUUUGUCUCUCUCAGAGCAGCCAUCAAGAAUGUCUUCGUUUUACCACCUUAACUCUAAGAUGACCACCAUGAAUAGGACUAAGCAAUAUUUUACAGUGGGGAGAUAUAAGAGACCAAGUUUGCAUUUUAUAGAUGGGAAAACUGGAGCCCAGAACACUUAAUGGAGUCGAACAAUAUUCCAGAUCUGGUUAUAACAGAAGAAUCAGAACUUAACCACUGUAUUCUGAUGAAAGACAAAUCAUGAUAUCUCAUUUUUUAGGCAAUGAUGAGCGGUUUUUUGUGAUCAUUAGAAUUCACUUCUAAUUUGAGAUUCCUACCAUGGGAUUUCUCAGCCUUGCUCAAAAGCCUACAGGAAGGGGGCUGGGUGAAGUGCUGUAAUCCCAGCACUUUUGGAGCUGAGGCGGGUGGAUCAUCUGAGGUCAGGAGUUUGAAACCAGACUGGCCAACACGGCAAAACCCCAUCUCUACUAAAAAUACAAAAUUAGCCAGGCAUGGUGGUACAUGCCUGAAAUCCCAGCUGCUUGGGAGGCUGAGGCAGGAGAAUCGCUUGAACCCGGGAGGCAGAGGUUGCAGUGAGCCAAGAUCGAGCCACCGCACUCCAGCUGGGUGAAAGAGUGAGGCUCCAUGUCAAAAAGAAAAAACAAAGCGUAUAGGAAGGGACAGUUCUGAGUCCAACAGGAAGCUCAUCCCAUCUUUGGCCCCUGGGCGAUUAUUCCAGGUCUUCCUUACUUUGUCUUCAGUCUGUUCCCUCAACAAUCGUUUCUGCAGUAUUUAAUGCCCCUCCCACCCACUGAUCCAAGACUGCGUUUAAUUCCUCUUCCACACGACAGCCCUGUGGUUAUCUGCCCCACGAUUUCACUUCCCUAUGAUGAGUUUCUAAUUUUAUGGUAUUAUGAGAAGGCAAAAAAUUCAAAGGACUCAUUUAUUAGACUGACACCUGAGAAACAGGCCCAAACACAGAUAAGCAAAGAAACGGCUUCUCUAAUUGCAUGAAGUUUGGUGAGAGGUUAUUAUUUUAGCAAGACAGGGAUGGCAAGCACUUCGAAAAGUGUGUAUGUAUUUCACAGGCUCUGCAAUAUGUGUGGGAAGCCUGUGUCACGAAGGGAAGGAUGGAUGGCUAGACUUCCACUCUGUAUUCUUAUCCCUUGAAUGCCUUCCUUUUCCCUCCAUUCCUACAUCCUCCAGCCUCUGUCCUUCUCACAAAUCUGGGACCACGCAAUCUAGAGGUAGAGUCUUGUGAUGAGAAUGAAGAUAUUCCCAUCAUUCAUUGGAGCAAGGAUCUAGGAAGUGGAGAGAGGUGCAGGGCAGAAGGAAGGGCGGAUCCAGGUCUCCCAUAGAUGGCCCCAAGCACGGGAGAGCCAAAGAAAUACCUGAGUGACCAUUCAACACAAGCAUUUCCACAUCUAUUUUGAGGGUUGGUGUUCUGAUGCCACAGAAUGAACUUAUUCUUCUGACUUUUCCUUUACAAACUGGGCAUGCCAGCCAAGAACUCCAAAUUCUGGACAGAGAACACGCCUAUUUUUAUAACUGUUUAAUUGCUAUGCUGAAUUUUCUCUUCCCCCCUCCUCAUGCAAUUAGGCAGUUUCAUGCCAAAUCUUAUAGUCCAUUUAACAUUUUUGCAUGUGUGUAAUAUAGUAAGAUUAUUGCUGCACUGUAAAAAUGUCAUUGAUUCAAGGGACUUUUCUUAAUGACUUAGAUUGUAAUAAUCCUCCUUCCCAGACAUAGGCGAAAUAUCCAUUUUCCCUAAUUAAACACACACAUAACCUUCAUAAAUUUUGUAACCUUAAAAUAGGCAUUUGUAAAUUUCAAAGUCAAAUGGCCUUUAUAUCCAUUACUUACUAAGGAAUUCCUCCUUAAUUAUUCACCAAUGAAUAUACACUCAAAAACACAGGCUAACAGCUCAAAUACUACUGAAGCAGAAGUAACAUUGAAUUUGGCAGUCAUUAAAAAUAAUAACUUUAACUUGAUGUUUUUCUAAGUUUUCUCCUUUAAAUCCAAUGUCUUCAAAAAGACUUUCUCGUUAAUGUGUGACAGGCAUGUUAAACACAGGCUGUGCAAAUAUUUGAACAGUAAUAAUAUUGAUUUCUUCCAUGGCAAUUUUCCAUACACAUGGUAGAAGACUACUAGCAAAAGCUCUGAUUUCUACUCUCAUGAUGCUUUGCAAUUACACAGGAAAGUAUUCUUAGCACGUACAACAUAUAUAAUUUUUGGAGAAAAACGUAGUAAUAUCUUAUAUUUUCAUAGCCCAUUUUUCUGAAAAGCUGAAAGAGCUUUUAUGCUUGUCAUUAUUUUAGAGGCUUGGAAAGAAAGAAUGAAUAGGUAGUGUCCUGUUACACAUGAGAGGACACGUGCAGCUAUGUCCCCAUCACUUUUGGGAAAGCUAGUCAACUUGUCAGGACCAUGGGUUUCAUGGGCAAUUCUUUAGUGUGACUAGUGAGUCUGCUGAAUUAACUCCUGCAGUCUUCACCCAGAGUCUCAUAGAGGUGUCUGGAGUGGAAGAAAUGGCAUAGACAGAGGUGAUGCCUCAUCCUUGGGUCUGGACCUUGCUGCCUGUGACUAUAUAUCAAUCGAUAGCAUGGGUGCUAUGGAGAAGGUAAGUGAAAUAGACACUGUGUCUGCUGAAGAUCAUUUGAGGACAUUUCCAUAGCAGCUUGGCUGUCACAGUCUCUCCAGCACGCUUAGCCCAUUCACAGUUUCAGAGCUGUCUCAAGACAGAGUGUGAGCCCCAGCUUUUCUGGGUUGCCAACAACACAGUGCCUUUCCUUCUUACUGUAACCAAGACUUGGUAAAGAAUGGUAUCUAAAUCUGGUUAAAGUAAACUUUGGUGACGGUCUUAAAAAAUAAAAUAUAUAUCCUAGUAGAUAUAUGUCAGGGUAAAAUGAAAAUUAGAACAGGUGAUCUGGAGGUCAAAUGUAGAUCCAGGUAUUGGCCACAGAAUUUUCAUUUUGAAGCUCAAACAGAAAAAGGCAUGCCCUGACUAGUCCUGUGGGUGGGUUUCUGCCCCAAGUCCCUACCCAGUUACUGUUGAUGGGAUAGUGUUAGUUCUUUUUUCAUUUCUUAGAGAUGGGCUCUCGCUAUGCUGCCCUGGCUGGAGGGCAGUGGCUAUUCUCAGGCACAAUCCUACUACUAAUCAGCAUGGGAGUUUUGACCCACUUUAUUUCCAAUGUGGGCCAGUUCAACCCUCCGUAGGCAAGCUGUUGGUCCCCUGCUCCCAGGAGGUCACUAUUAUCCAUGCUGAACUUAGUGUGGCCAUCUCAUCAGCACAGUGCACCACAGCCCAGAACUCCUAGGCUCAAGCGAUCCUCCCACCUCAGCCUCCUGAGUAGCUGGGACAACAGGUGCACCACCUCUCCUGGCAUGUUAGUUCUUUUGAAGAACAAAGGCAAGAGCCUAGUGUCUCUCAUCUAAAGAUAACUGUAGAGAAUUUUUCUGGCAUCCCUUUCCUGGAAGUUUCUUUCUUCUUAUUGCUGCUGAUUCAAAUCCCACUCUUUCAAAGCCCACCCAAGGUUCAUUUAUUCCGUGAAGCUUUUCUUAUACGCAGUCACCUCUAAAUGUUCCUCUACUUGAAUGUAUAAAACCCUUAGUUAGGGAGUACGAGCCAAGUCAUCAAAUUUGCCAAAUGUUGCACUACAACUAUUUUUACGGGGUCUUGUGAGCCUUUUUUACUUCCCUGAUACAAUUUAUACUUUUAGGUAAGAAAUAUCUUCCUACUUACCUUAAAUUUUUCUGAGAAUCAAAAACAGUAGUUUCCCUGGGAUUAAGUUCAUACUUGCAGAGAAAAUGAACUUACAAGAGAAUCUAGAACAACCACUGCGUAGCCAGGUAGUCAAACUAUUUUAUAUUCAUACUUUUAACAACAUUUAAACAGAAUCUUCUAAAUCAUUUAAGAACUAGCUCUGAAAGAGGACACUGUAUACUUUCAGAUUUUUUUUUUUCUGUAAAACACUUCUGGGAGAACUCAAAGCAUGGUGGGGUAUACUGCUUUUGUUCCAAUUACAUUAAACCUUAUUAAAAUCGCCAUAAUGACAACAACAUCUCUUCAGAAGGGUGUGCCAAAUACUUAGGGGGCUUAGUCUCACCAAGACGUUCUGGGAUUUGGUUACCUAAUGCCUAUUAGUGAUAAUAAGUAUUACGUCUAUAAAUCCCUGGGUGCUUGUAUCAAUCCUAUCUGUUUUAGUUUCCACAGGUGGAGUGAUAGCUCUAAUGAGGUCCACGUCGUCACGAUUCCUGUUUAGAGAAAUAAAAUGUUUAGAUCUCAACUUUCCUGCCAUUCCCUGGUGGUGUUAUAUAUAAGGGUGACAUUUACGCAUUUCAAAUUGUUCCUUGAAGAAUAGCGAUUCAUUAUCUUUUAAAGAAAUUUGCUCCACAUCAUGUUUCAAUCCAACUGACAUUAGCGUAUGUUAGAGACACAGACGAAUGGGGCCACCAAGGCACGAGGGGAUGACUGACCCUGGUUAAUCCAAACCACAGGAUGGACAAAGUAUGAAUUUCAGUCGUCAGAUGAUUAACUCUGGUCCUUGGGUCACAACCUUGCCUGUCAGUAACUCACUCCUAAACUUCUUCAGGAAAAUAAAGAAACUUGAACAUGCCACUUUUAAAGUCAAACUCAGUGCCAUUAUGAUAGACCCUGUAUUCUUGCAAAGUUUCUUGGAGGAAUCUGAUUUCCAGCUGUUGUUCAAUUAGUUUCAUAUCAGUCAAUCCUUGUUUAAAAACAUGUCAUAAGGCUCUGUGGCUUGUGCACGCUUCAGUUACCUCCGAUUAUUACAUCAAGAUUCACAAACGAGAUACCAGAGUCACUUCUAUUUAUUGGGAAAUGCUAUUGAAACAAACUGAAAUUCAAGUUCAGAAGAGAUUGCAAUAACCCGUCAAAACAUCCAAGGAGAGAGGAAGUUGGGCCUCAAGGUGCAUGGGGCCAUUGUUAAAUGCAAGACAGCAUCUCACCUAAUAAUUUAAACAUGGUCUCGUGGCCUGACAUUUUUAAUGCUUCCUUGAUCUCAUUCUUCUAUCCCUACAUGUUCUUUGCCACUGUAGGGGGCAGUGCAUAGUGGGUUAUGGAUUAAAUACCAAGCCUUAUUCUGCCAAUAGCACUUUUAGGAUGGGAAAAAUCACUGGGUACUUUUAUAAAUAGUCACGCUGUAGGUGUCCACAGAAAGCCACCUUUAUUCAGGGCUUUUAAAAGCUGCCUGCUUUUUAGACACAAACCAAUCCAUAAAACUACCAAGUUGAAAUUGUCAGCUAUUAUCUGGGCAGUAAGUCUCAGGCCCCUCGGCAGGCUGAUUUGAAGUUUUUUGUCAGCGCAAAUUAGGAUCCUGGGUUUAACGAAUACAAUCUGGGUCUAAAAAUUAAUUUAACUUGCCCAAUCCCCAUGAUACACAGCCCGGGGUUCGCAUUUGCUUUGUGACUCACUGCAUUUGAAUUAAACUAGAGGGCUAAGAAUGUUAUGCCGGAAGCAGCUCUGAUUCUGAAGAACAGAAACAAACACAUAUUUCUCCCAUCAUCUGCUGCUUCAGGGCAAGAAAAAGAAAGCCACUGUAACUUGGAGACAAGACUUUUCCAGACAACUCUGAACAGCAGCAACCACAGCACAAUACUAAACAGAAGUGUGUUGUGGAAUCCUGGACUUCAGUGAGAAAUUAGUAGGAGCAAAUACACAAUUUUUCAUAGAUAUGGUGUUGGCAUGAAUUCUUGACGUAAACUCAAAGGAACUGCAAACUUGUCUGUAAAUGAACAUUUAAAACACAGAUUGUGAAGUGGUUUUUUGGGAGCAGAGAAUCAGUUAAAUGAAGGAAAAUUUAGAAGCGUCAUAGACCUGGAAAUAAACUAGAAAAUUGUCUGUUUCAAUAUCCUUAUUUUCAAAUAUGGAAGCUGAGGCCCUAAGAGAUUGGGUUACCCAAGAUUACAGAGUUAGGUUUUUUUGUUUGUUUUAUUUUUUGUUUUGUUUCUCUGAGGCAGGGCCCCAAUCUGUCACCCAGGCUGGAGUGCAGUGAUGCAAUAUAGGCUCACUGUAGCCUCGACAUCCUGGGGUCAGGUGAUCCUCCCACCUCAGCCUCCCAAGUGGCUGAGACUAUAGGUGCAUGCCACCAUACCUGGCUAAUUUUCUGUAGAGAUGGGUUUUUGCUAUGUUGUCCAGACUGGUUUCGAACUCUUGGGCUCAAGUAAUCCACCCGCCUCAGCCUCCCAAAGUGCUGGGAUUACAGGCAUGAGCCACUGUGCCCAGCCCACAGAGUUAGUUGUGACAUCAAAAAACCCAGGUCUUCUGACUCCCAUCUUGUACUUUUCCACAAACUUCUCAAACAGGAUUUCCCACUAGGGGAGGGAUAGCAUUAGGAGAAAUACCUAAUGUAGAUGACGGGUGAUGGAUGCAGCCAACCACCACGGCACGUGUACACCUAUGUAACAAACCUGCAUGUUCUGCACAUGUCCCCAAAACUUAAAGUAUAAAAAAAAAGAAUGCAAAUCCUCUCUGGCAAUUUAUUUUUUUCCCACUUGUUCUAGGAGAGCAAAAUUCUACAAUGUCAAACUCCUGAUUGUAGGCUUUCUUAUCUUUCUAGCAUAUUUUCAACAGUAAAGAAAGUAAUUUUUAAAAUCUUCACUCAAAAAAUAUAUAUGCAUUUUCAAGGGUUCUGAUGGUCUUGGUUCAUGUUUAAUUCCAAGUAUAGGUAGAGAGGUAAGUAAGUUUUCUAUGUAUAGACCACAUGUUGACCUUGACACUGAAGCCCAGCAGGCGAAAGAGGGCAUCUGAGCAUUUUGGUGGCAAUCCUAACAUAGGGCUUGAAAGGUCCUUAAGAGUUUAUUUGUCCAACUUAAUCCAGUUCCAGCAGAUGAGUAUAUUUGUGUCUGUCCUGGUUUUUAUAAAAACCAUCAAUGACCAUGGCUGAUGCACGUAAUUCCAGCCCUUUGGGAGGCCGAGGCGGGCAGAUCACAUGAAGUCAGGAGUUCGAGACCAGCCUGGCCAAUGUGGCGAAACCCCGUCUCUACUAAAAAUACAAAAAUUAGCCAGGAGUGGUGGUGCAUACCUGUAAUCCCAGCUACUCUGGGGCUGAGUCUGGAGAAUCACUUGAACCUGGGAGGCGGAGGUUGCAGUGAGCCGAGACUGCGCCAUUGCAUUCUAGCCUAGGCAACAGGGUGAGACUUGGACUCAAAAACAAAAACCCGCCAACGAAAAUAAUUUCACAGCUUCCCUAUGAACUCAUUUCUGUAGUCCAUACCCCCUACCUUCAAGAAAAUUUUAGAAGACAGAGUUCCAAUUUGUCUUGUUUCAGUUUGAGUUCAUGAACACUAAAAUAAUAAAAUCUAUUUUUAUCUGGAA
Long non-coding RNA from Callithrix jacchus (white-tufted-ear marmoset), 7802 nucleotides. RefSeq lists it as uncharacterized. NCBI's taxonomy places the organism in Eukaryota, Metazoa, Chordata, Mammalia, Primates, Cebidae. The record is from RefSeq and is a predicted model, not a curated record.